GACGAACGCUGGCGGCGUGCUUAACACAUGCAAGUCGAACGGAAAGGCCCUGCUUUUGUGGGGUGCUCGAGUGGCGAACGGGUGAGUAACACGUGAGUAACCUGCCCUUGACUUUGGGAUAACUUCAGGAAACUGGGGCUAAUACCGGAUAGGAGCUCCUGCUGCAUGGUGGGGGUUGGAAAGUUUCGGCGGUUGGGGAUGGACUCGCGGCUUAUCAGCUUGUUGGUGGGGUAGUGGCUUACCAAGGCUUUGACGGGUAGCCGGCCUGAGAGGGUGACCGGCCACAUUGGGACUGAGAUACGGCGCAGACUCCUACGGGAGGCAGCAGGGGGGAAUAUUGCACAAUGGGCGGAAGCCUGAUGCAGCAACGCCGCGUGCGGGAUGACGGCCUUCGGGUUGUAAACCGCUGUCGCCUGCGACGAAGCGUGAGUGACGGUAAUGGGUAAAGAAGCACCGGCUAACUACGUG
This 468-nucleotide ribosomal RNA is filed under the name uncultured bacterium. RNAcentral's name for it is "partial 16S ribosomal RNA". It matches the Rfam family "Bacterial small subunit ribosomal RNA", at positions 28 to 507 of the family's 1533-position model. The record is from RNAcentral.